RNAcentral lists this ribosomal RNA (253 nucleotides) under uncultured bacterium. RNAcentral describes it as "partial 16S ribosomal RNA". It matches the Rfam family "Bacterial small subunit ribosomal RNA", at positions 524 to 776 of the family's 1533-position model. The record is from RNAcentral.
UACGUAGGGUGCGAGCGUUAAUCGGAAUUACUGGGCGUAAAGCGUGCGCAGGCGGUUCGUUGUGUCGGUGGUGAAAUCCCCGGGCUUAACCUGGGAAUGGCCAUGGAAACUGGCGAACUGGAGUGCGGCAGAGGGGGGUGGAAUUCCGCGUGUAGCAGUGAAAUGCGUAGAUAUGUGGAGGAACACCGAUGGCGAAGGCAGCCCCCUGGGUUAACACUGACGCUCAUGCACGAAAGCGUGGGGAGCAAACAGG